ACAGGAUGGCCAUCACUGUGCCAUCAUCCACACCUCUUCCUCAGACAACCAGGACCAGGACCAGACGGAGAUGGGAGGAACCUCAGAGUUGUAAGCACCGUCAAAUAAACACCCCAGAGUGUGAACCAGUAGCGGCAGUAGGAUUUAAAUAGUGUUACUGAGUAUAGUGUCUGAUUCAUCCAGUUGAAACAGGACAAUAGGAUAGCUGAUUGUCUGCUGAACAUCCCAAGGCUGUUUUCUACUGUUUUCUACUUCUCUAUCAUAAAUAUGGGAUCUUUGCAUUUUAUUAAUGGUAAUAUUUCAGUAGGGUGAUCCUGUGAUGUCAUUACCAUUACUGUGCUAUAUUAAUCAAUUGUAUAUAUAUUACGGUAAUCAAUCAACGUGAAAAUGAAAGUAUCCAAUCUCAUUUGACCUUUGACCUUAUGUGAUGCUUACAUUAACAAAAAAAUGUUUUUCAUGCCUCAUUCUGAUAUUUUUUGAUUUCAACGCUUUUUUAAUAAAUGACUACUUUUAAUGGGUUGACUCCAUCUAUUGUCACGUUCUCCUGAGGUAGGUCUAGUCGUAACACACACUUCUACAUUAUGUAGAUGUUUAGAUAUGAGUUUAAUAGGUUUAGGCAGUAUUUAGAAUCCUAUAAUGUGGGCAAGUGAAGGCCUUUGAGACUCUAGCUGUGAUUAAGAGCAAUGCAAUUCGUUCUACUCUGGUCCCACCAUCACUUUGAAAAGAUGUCUGUUUAGUAAGUGUUCUGCCCUGAAUAGGUUUUAUAUUAAAAGACACUUAAAGUUACUGUUGAAACGUUUUAUUGUUGCAAAGGUAUUGUGGAGCCUUUAUUUUGAAAGCAACCUAGUAACAGGAAGCAGGAAGUAACAGUGUAAACACAACGAGAGAAGACAUGAUGGCGUGUUUGUAUCACCUCAUGGCUGUUAAUCCUUGCGUAAUUCUUUGUGUGUAUCCCUCAGAAAGCAAUGACUUUUCACUCCGAUUCAAUGCUGUCAUCCUGACUUACCUGCUGUUUAAGAAGUCAAUAAAGGAGCAUGCACGCUCACUUCCUGGCUCUUGAAAA
Gadus morhua (Atlantic cod) is the source of this 1063-nucleotide long non-coding RNA. RefSeq lists it as uncharacterized. Lineage: Eukaryota; Metazoa; Chordata; Actinopteri; Gadiformes; Gadidae. The transcript has 3 exons. The record is from RefSeq and is a predicted model, not a curated record.